Molecule: small nuclear RNA, 102 nt
Organism: Heterocephalus glaber (naked mole-rat)
Lineage: Eukaryota; Metazoa; Chordata; Mammalia; Rodentia; Bathyergidae
Source: Ensembl
GAGUUACUUCAGCAGCACAUAUAUUAAUAUUGGAGUGAUACAGAGAAGAUUAGCAUGACCCCUGUGCAAGGAUGACACACAAAUUCAUGAAGAUUUAUUUUU